ACGAACGCUGGCGGCGUGCUUAACACAUGCAAGUCGCACGGAAAGGCCUUUUCGGAGGUACUCGAGUGGCGAACGGGUGAGUAACACGUGGGUGAUCUGCCCUGCACUCUGGGAUAAGCCUGGGAAACUGGGUCUAAUACCGGAUAGGACCGCACUUUAGUGUGUGUGGUGGAAAGUUUUUUCGGUGUAGGAUGAGCCCGCGGCCUAUCAGCUUGUUGGUGGGGUAAUGGCCUACCAAGGCGGCGACGGGUAGCCGGACUGAGAGGUUGGUCGGCCACAUUGGGACUGAGAUACGGCCCAGACUCCUACGGGAGGCAGCAGUGGGGAAUAUUGCACAAUGGGCGCAAGCCUGAUGCAGCGACGCCGCGUGGGGGAUGACGGCCUUCGGGUUGUAAACUCCUUUCGCCAGGGACGAAGCGUUUUGUGACGGUACCUGGAGAAGAAGCACCGGCUAACUACGUG
RNAcentral lists this ribosomal RNA (462 nucleotides) under uncultured bacterium. RNAcentral's name for it is "partial 16S ribosomal RNA". It matches the Rfam family "Bacterial small subunit ribosomal RNA", at positions 29 to 507 of the family's 1533-position model. The record is from RNAcentral.